AUGAAGUUGAAAAAGAAAACAGAAUUCUACAAGGAAGAUCAUCAAGGAGUCUAUUGGCAAUCUCGGGAAAAAAAAGGUGGUAUUGCUAGUCUUCUGCAAGUUAUCUCGAGCCGGAGCAUCAGCCCUACCCAACUCCUUCCUUUUUUUUCCUUUCUGUUAUUCCUUUACUUUUCAGGAGGCUGCUGGUCCUUCAUGUCAAUUUCUCGUGCCAUCUUUGGUCCUCUGGAAGGAUGUGUCGUUAAAUUGAUUCGCUGUCCUCUUGUUACGAUUUUUGCUAUGGUCCCUUCGACAACUCGAUUACUUGGCUGA
RNAcentral lists this ribosomal RNA (309 nucleotides) under Triticum aestivum (bread wheat). RNAcentral's name for it is "partial small subunit ribosomal RNA". Lineage: Eukaryota; Viridiplantae; Streptophyta; Magnoliopsida; Poales; Poaceae. The record is from RNAcentral.